This is a long non-coding RNA of Equus caballus (horse), 1733 nucleotides long. The record is from Ensembl. NCBI's taxonomy places the organism in Eukaryota, Metazoa, Chordata, Mammalia, Perissodactyla, Equidae.
CCGACUGGGAGGUGCCCCCCGCCCAUCCUUGCUCAAGGGACAACGAUCGAGCGAAUUCUGCGUGGACCACGGCUAAAGAGCAUUUUCCCAAGCCGAUAAAAGUGACUCCUGCUCCCAACAAUUUCGUGGCUUUAUUUUCUCCUGGCUAACACCUUUCCCAGGGUGCGCUGAAAUCCCUUUAUCAUUAUAGAUUUUUUUAAUGAAGUGAUUUUAUUUCUCCGCUGUAUUCAGGAUAACGAAAAGGCUUGAGCCGAGCUCUGCACCCCACAGCAAAGCAAACCUAACUACCGUAGCCCAGACUCAGGGGAGCGAGCAUGGCUAGCAACCACUUGUACUUCGGAGCCGCUUGGGCCCUGCUAGCUGUGUUAAUUACGGGUUCUAAUUUUAUGGCAUCUCGGCUCCUCCUGGUUUGUCCCCACUAUAGCGGUCUUAAAAAGAAGCACCCACAGGCACACACCAGAAUGAAUUCCCAGGAAAGACAAAGGUGGAUUUCUCUGACUGUCGGUCGAUAAGCUGAGAGCGCGCAGGGAGCCAGAUGGGCAUGUCCCGGCAGUCGGGAGUAAAUCUCAGCGGAGAGCAGCGCCUUCCCAAUUCUUCCCGGUCCUCGCCGUACCCCUGUCCCUGCCGGUCGACCGCGGCGCUCCCUGGGGACGCUGUAGAGCUAUUCAGUAGCUGCUGCCCGCGCCUCCCUGGCCUGGGGUAGCCUGGCCGGGAGAUAGUGCAUGGUGCAUGCGGCCCUCGCCCGGUCAGUCCUGACCUCCUCGGCAAGGAGUCCUCGCGCAUGGUGUGGAUGCGUAGGGUGCGGGCCCUCUGCCCCAGCUCGAGUGCCGCCUUAGGCGGGUUUCUCUCCUCUAAGUCGUGGAGGUGGGAAAGGGGGUGUCCACUUGCCGUGCAGAUACCUGUGGUAAGGGGGCUUCUCUUGGGGCUUUAGCACCAGCGGUUCCUGCAGAAUAGGGAAAUGGCGAGAUCAAUGACAUUGGGGGGCAUAGUGGGAUUGACACCCCCGUCUACUUAUUAAUCGUGUGAUCUCACUUAAUCUAAAUGUCUUGUGUGCUCUUCUUUACUCUUUCUCUCUUUUAUCUGUAGUGAAACGGGGAAGAUAAUAAUAUCUCCUUUGUAAAGUUAUUGUGGCAAAUGGUAGGAUGAGCCUUCCUGGCCCAGAACCUCUUGGCAGUUUCCGGCUUUCCCGCCGCAGCGCAGAGAUAACUCACAGGCAGGGCCGGUGAGGAGGCCCUGGGGACCGCGAGAGGAUCCAGCCCGGCGUCCUGUGGAAGAUGGGCUUUCAGCGAAUCAUGAAAAGACUGAGGCUCUGGUUUUCCUUGGAACGUGGUGGAGAAAGGUAGGAGGAUCUGGAUCCCAGUGCAGAGUUGACUGUGGGGGAGGAAUUGCAAGGGGGAACUAAAAAUUUCGGGCCAUCGAAAUUCUGUGGAUUUUCAAAGGCCUUUCCCAGCCUUGGCAAAAAUUACUGUGGGAGCGCGAUCAACUCUGACCUGUAGGUGGCGCAAUGACCAGGUGACUCGGCCGGGAAAGAAGACCGCGGGAAAUUUUACGUGACUCGGACCCGACUCUCAGCUCCCAGCCUCCGCUUCACGUUUUCGGAGGGACAGCUAGGAUAGUGCAGCAUGAGGCUCCGCUCUCGGGACGCCCUUUGGGCCAAUCGAGUCUUCGCAAGGAGGCAGCCCCACUGCCCUCGCACGGACCCUGAGGGCAGGGUCUUGAAGAACCCCGAAACC